AAAUUACUGCCAGUUGAAAGUCAUUAAUAUACAACUAGGUUUUUGCUUAGUGGACAACAAAUAAAUAGAAGCUACCUUUGACUACUCUCUCUGUGUUUCUUACCAUCUUACCAAUGAUGCUGUAAUUAUAUGUUUCUCACGGCGUCCUCUAAAUUCUUCUCAUCAAAAUGUAAGACAUUAUAUAAAUCUGAAAAGGAGAUUGAGGAGUUCCCGUUGUGGCUCAGCGGGUUAAGAACCCAACAUAGAAUCCAUGAGGAUGCAAGUUCAAUCCCUGGCCUGUCUCAGUAGGUUAAGGAUCCGAUAUUGCCACAUACUGCAGAGUAGGUCACAGAUACUGCUCGGAUCUGGUGUUGCUGUGGCUGUGGCAUAAGCCUGCAGCUGCAGUUCUGAUUCAGCCCCUAGCUUGGGAACUUCCAUGUGCCACAGAUGCGGCCAUAAAAAGAAAAACAUUUAAAUUUAAAAAAAAAAAAAAAAAAGGAGGUUGGAAAAUUGUCUCCUCUGUGUAGCCCCCUUCAGUAUUUCCCUUUUGCAUUGUCUUCUGCCCCUUCUGCACAGUGUAAAAUUAUACAUCUUAUUAUCCCUUCUUCAAAGAUAGCCUUGAGCAUGGGUACCUAUAGGAAGGAUGAGAGAAGGAAAGUUAGUUUGAGUUUUGAAUUUAAACUUUGUGCUCCAGAAAUUCCAUUAAUUGAGUGAGUGUAUGUUUCUUAAGCUUAUCAUGGAAACAAAUGAAAUGCAAGUAUCCAUUUUGUCAUUACAUUAAAUUUACUUGAAAAGAUGUUCCCACAAUAUAAAAAUUAGCUAUUAUGUAGUCAAGAAUUAGGAUCAAGCCUGGAAACUCUCUUUUAAAAACCUUCCUAUAUUUGCUUUUGUAAUUCAGAGCAUAUGCAAGGAAAUAUAGAUAAGCCAUAAAAAUUGCCUUUUUCUUUUCAAGCUUACUGCAGUGUUCAUUAAUUUAUAUAUAUUUUCACUCCUUACAAAAUGAUCGUUUAUAUGAGUAAAAUGGCUUUUUUAUGCUAAUCAUUAACUAUUCUAAGCAAAGAUAAAAUAUUAGGAAAAAAACAGUUAAAUUUCAUUUGGUUUCCUGAUAAAUUUCAGAGUUGACCUGAAUCAUUUUGCUACUUUUUCAAAUUAACUUCCAAAAUCACUAACCUGUAUUAAGAGUUUAGAAGCAUACCUUUCCAAAAUUGAAGAGUAACAUCUAAUUUCCUUAUUUUAAGCAUUUCUUUUACCACUUAAUAAGUUAUAGCUUUGCAAGUAUGAGAGCAUGAUUAAAUUUCUUUUUAGUAUUGCUUUUAAAUAGAAUAAAUUGAACUUUUUGUCAAGAUAUUUUCAGUUUUUAUAUUGUAUUGUAAAUAGCUUGUCAGCUUUGUUAGAGGGUUUUUUUUUUCUUACCAGAAAUAUUUAAGGUUUUUCUAUUAUUAAAAAAGAGAACAGUUGGAGUUCCCGUUGUGGCUCAGUGGUUAAUGAGUCCAAUUAGGAACCAUGAGGUUGCAGGUUCGAUCCCUGGCUUUGCUCAGUGGGUUAAGGAUUCGGCGUUGUCAUGAGCUGUGCUGUGGGUUGCAGACGCGGCUCGGAUCUGGUAUUGCUGUGGCUCUGGCAUAGGCCGGUGGCUACAGCUCCAAUUAGACCCCUAGCCUGGGAACCUCCAUAUAGCAAAGGCAAAAAGACAAAAUAAAAAUAAAAAUAAAGGUUGAUUUUAUUAAGUCUUGAAAUAACUUACUACUUCUAAACAACAUAUUCUUAUUUAUUAAUUUUGGCUAGUUUAAUCUUAAUAUAUCUCCAUAGUGUCCAUUAUUCUAAUUGAACUCAGAAUAUGGAUAUUUUACUAAUACAUCUAGGAAAAAAUGCUUAUUUAUAAAUAUAUGAUUAGGUAAUGACAAGUAUAUAAUUUUUUGCUACCCAUUAACCUAUUCAGAAAGUAACAAGUAUUUUGUGGCCUCCUAUUUUUAAUAUUAGUGAGAUUUGAAUUUAACAUAUUGUACCAAAGGAAAAAAAUUUAGAGAGAUUGAGGUAUAUUAUAUAAAAAUAUGAUUAAACAUAAGAAAUUGAUGGUCAUAUUUUAUGAUUUAUGGUUACAAUUAAAGGAAGUAUUUAAUUACAAAGAAAAUGUAAUAGUAAUAGGAAAGAGAAAAGUAAUACAUUUUUGCUUAUGUCUGAAUUACUAUUAAUUUUUUUAGAAACUAGAAUUUUUAUUAAAAAAAUACUAUUUUGAAAAUACUCAAGCACAGAGUAGAACAAGUAGAAAAUCAGAAUGAAGACAUCUAUUUCUAGCCAUGUAAAAAUUACUUUCAAUGGUUAUCUUAACUCAAAACAACCACAUCUUGCAUAAAAUUAAUAUUACUUCAUUGUUAGGUUUCACAAAUUGAAGUAAAAUUCUUAACAAACAGGGAAAGCAAAAAACAUGGACUGAAACAAACAGGGAAAGUAAAAAACGUGGACUGAAACGCAGUAAACACAUACAAGACACAGGGGUUCAAUAUAAAGAAGCUGGAGGAUCUCAGUGGUUAACAAAUCUGACUAGGAACCAUGAGGUUGCGGGUUCGAUCCCUGGCCUUGCUCAGUGGGUUAAGGAUCCGGCAUUGCUGUGAGCUGUGGUGGAGGUUGAGGUUGUAGAUGAGGCUCGGAUCCCAUGUUGCUGUGGCUGCGGCAUAGGCCAGAGGCUACACCUCCGAUUAGACCCCUAGCCUGGGAACCUCCAUAUGCCGCAGGUGUGGCUCUAGAAAAGCCAAAAAAAAAAAAGGAAGCUGGAGGAUAUUAUCACUUAAAGCCCCCUGGUGGAGUUUUUUCCCUCCUGUUUUGUUUACAGAUUUGUUUACUUUCUCGAAGUCCAGUAUACACAAAAGGAAAUGACCCACCAUGAAUGAGAGUUAGCAGUGCUGACCUAAAACAAGUAGACUGCCAAUUAUUUUUCGGGGGUGGGGGGGAGAUUAGCUUGGGAUCAGUAGAGAAAGGUCAUUUGGAAUCUGCUACCAUGGCAAGCCAUGUGCAAGUUUUAAGUCCCCACAAAGCAAGGAAAGGAGAACUCCUUCAUAGAGGGGAAAAAUGUGGGACAGCUAGAGUAAACAGAGUCCAUGACUUUUCCUUGGCUGAGAUAUUGCCAGGAAAGAGGAAUCUUUCUUCUUCCUAUUUGGCUGUCUUCUCGGGGCAUGAGAGCUCCCUCUUCUGGUAUCCUGACUCCAUUUAAUUGAGGUUUCUGUUUAUUUUUUACAAAUAUAUAAAAGCAAAUCUGAAAUGCUUAAAAUAAUAAUCCAAUAGAAUUGAGUUUACAAAAGUGGAAAACAUAAUCAUCAAAAUGAAAAAUCUUAAAUGGAUAGUAUCUAGUCAGGAAAACAAAAACUAUUCUAAUUAUUUUUUGUAGAGACUAUAUAAUACAGGGACCUAGUUAUACAGGUUAUUAGAAAGAACUGGAAAGGCAAAGAGAGGAUAACUGACAGAGCAAAUAAAAAGGAAAACGGUGUAGUAGGCAGAGCUCAGAAGCAGAUAACAUUUCUUGGUUGGAGUCUCUGAUCCUCCACUCGAGAGGGUGCUGUUGCAGUCACUUUUGGAUCCAUCAAAGUAGUAUCACCCCAACCAUAACCAGAAUGACCAAAAGUCACUGCCUCUUCCCAAAGUGCUAGGUUCCAAAAUCAUCUCACCCCUCUUGCCCAAAAAGCAGUUCUUUCCUUAUGAUCUCCAAUUUGUGCCUUAAGAGUAUUGGGAGAAUUUAGGGAAAAUAAAAAAUAUAUUAAAAAAAAGAGUAUUGGGAGAAUUUAAUAGGAAACUUGUGAGAAGAACCAGGCAUUUUCAAACUCUGCACCUCAUACAGCACAAAGCAGAACAGAGAACAGUGAGGGCUUUAAGAGGAAACACACAGGUUGGCGUAAUGGAUUAUAUAUCUGUUUGAACAUGGCUGAAGGGAGAAUUAGAAGAGAUGUUUUAAAACGAUAGCUCAGCAGUAAUGAACCCAACUAGUACCCAUGAGGAUGCAGUUUCGAUCCCUGGCCUUGCUCGGUGGGUUAAGGAGCCAGCAUUGCCGUGAGCUGUGGUGUAGGUUGCAGAUGCAGCUCGGAUACUGCUGUGUUACUGUGUCUCCAGCAUAGGCCAGCAGCUGCAGCUCCAAUUCAGCUCCUAGCCUGGGAAUUUCAGUAUGCCACAGGUGCAGCCCUAAAAAGCAAAUAAAUACAUAAUUAACAGAAUAAAUAAAAGAAUAAAUGAGAAAAACAAAUACAUGAAAAACAUGUAAAAAAGAGAUUUGUAGGAUAAAAUGUGAAAUUCUGAGGCUAAUUGUAUCCCAAAGAGAAAAUAGAGGAGCAGGUCAAAAUUCCUGUGCUAAUCAGUAGUAGGAUCCUAUCUGAAUAGUCACUGCACUCCAUAUAUAAUGGAACAUUAUUCAGCAAUAAAAAAGGAUAAGAACUUGCCAUUUGAGACAAUAUAGAUGGAACUCAAGGACAUUAUGCUAAGUUAAAUAAGUCAGAGAGAGACAAAUACUAUAUAAUUUCAGUUAUAUAUGAAAUCUUGAAAAACCACAGCAAACAAAAAAACUCUUAGAAGUUCCUCUCAUGGUGCAGUAGUUAACGAAUCCAACUAGGAACCAUGAGGUUGCAGGUUCGGUCCCUGGCCUUGCUCAGUGGGUUAAGGAUCCAGCGUUGCUGUGAGCUGUGGUAUAGGUUGCAGACACGGCUCGGAUCCCACAUUGCUGUGGCUCUGGUGUAGGCCGGUGGCUUCGGCUCCGAUUGGACCCCUAGCCUGGGAAUCUCCAUAUGCCAUGGGAGUGGCCCUAGCAAAGGCA
Molecule: long non-coding RNA, 4768 nt
Filed under: Sus scrofa (pig)
Lineage: Eukaryota; Metazoa; Chordata; Mammalia; Artiodactyla; Suidae
Description: lncRNA (ENSSSCG00000062759.1)
Source: RNAcentral